RNAcentral lists this ribosomal RNA (506 nucleotides) under uncultured bacterium. Its description in RNAcentral is "partial 16S ribosomal RNA". It matches the Rfam family "Bacterial small subunit ribosomal RNA", at positions 30 to 523 of the family's 1533-position model. The record is from RNAcentral.
AUUGAACGCUGGCGGCAGGCCUAACACAUGCAAGUCGAACGGUAACAGGAAACAGCUUGCUGUCUCGCUGACGAGUGGCGGACGGGUGAGUAAUGUCUGGGAAACUGCCCGAUGGAGGGGGAUAACUACUGGAAACGGUAGCUGAUACCGCAUAACGUCGCAAGACCAAAGAGGGGGACCUUCGGGCCUCUUGCCAUCGGAUGUGCCCAGAUGGGAUUAGCUAGUAGGUGGGGUAACGGCUCACCUAGGCGACGAUCCCUAGCUGGUCUGAGAGGAUGACCAGCCAACCUGGAACUGAGACACGGUCCAGACUCCUACGGGAGGCAGCAGUGGGGAAUAUUGCACAAUGGGCGCAAGCCUGAUGCAGCCAUGCCGCGUGUAUGAAGAAGGCCUUCGGGUUGUAAAGUACUUUCAGCGGGGAGGAAGGGAGUAAAGUUAAUACCUUUGCUCAUUGACGUUACCCGCAGAAGAAGCACCGGCUAACUCCGUGCCAGCCGCCGCAGUAA